Long non-coding RNA from Aquila chrysaetos chrysaetos, 533 nucleotides. RefSeq lists it as uncharacterized. The record is from RefSeq and is a predicted model, not a curated record. NCBI's taxonomy places the organism in Eukaryota, Metazoa, Chordata, Aves, Accipitriformes, Accipitridae. The transcript is spliced from 2 exons.
UUGGUGGCUCCUGAUCGGGUCGGGUCGGGACUAACGCCAUCCUGAACCUGAAUAGGGGCAAGCAAAGAAUUUGAUUUUUUUGAGCUCCCUUGCCGGCUGCAGCAGUUUAUUUUGCCCGUAAUUCUGCGCGCGAAGAUCCGAACGAAGACGACGGAGUCAAACAGCUGUGAGAACUGCUGAAAAAGGAUGGACGCACGUGUCACGAAUAAAAGGUCCAGUGAAGGAGUGGAAAAUGACAUCUGAGCCAGGAGAAACUAAACUAACCAUCAAACGAACUUGAAGAGGCCUUACAAUUGACUGGUAGGGGUAUAUGUGUAUCCUUACAGACUCCAGACCCAAGUGAAUCCCAGCUCGUUGGCUGAGGCCGUGGGAGGAACCAUUGUUGUAUGGGAGGAGUACCCCAACUGACGACGCGGGACAGCAGAACCCCGAGUCGAGCUAGUACUCAGCUUUGUCCAAUUUGUCGCCGGUGCAGUUUGUAUCUUAUUUGUCAUUGUUAUUACUGUGGGAAAUAUAUAAUCCAUUAUAACGGA